RNAcentral lists this transfer RNA (69 nucleotides) under Hydropsyche simulans. RNAcentral's name for it is "tRNA-His". The record is from RNAcentral. Lineage: Eukaryota; Metazoa; Arthropoda; Insecta; Trichoptera; Hydropsychidae.
AUUUAAAUAAUUUAAUUUAAAAUAUUGAUUUGUGGAAUCAAAAAUGUUUGUAAUGAUAAAAAACUUUAA